RNAcentral lists this long non-coding RNA (838 nucleotides) under Heterocephalus glaber (naked mole-rat). RNAcentral's name for it is "lncRNA (ENSHGLG00100033296.1)". Lineage: Eukaryota; Metazoa; Chordata; Mammalia; Rodentia; Bathyergidae. The record is from RNAcentral.
GACGGUCGAGAGGUGGCAUGCGCGGCUCUGCCAGGAGCUGCCACACAGGCUCAUGACGGAAGACCCACAAGAAAAGCCCAUCUAACAAGAGAGAAACAUACAAAUUCAUUUACGUUUUCUCUGUCAUGGAGGCCUCAGAAAAGAAGUCCCCCCAACACAGGGAAAGAUUGCAGCUGACUGAUUCACUGUUGGAUUGAUGGAGACACCAAAAUGAAUUAGAUCACAUCAUUUGGAUUCUUGUAGCUUGGAAAUUGAAUGAUCUUAUAAUGAAGAAUCUGAAUUUCAAAAAGCAGUCCCCAAGGAUGAAGACCUUCUGAGCUUCCAGACAAACACAUCUCUUCCUGCAUGAGUGAAACUGGCUCCGGAAGACGCACUGUGCUUACGUUUCAGUGGAAUUGAUCUCAUCACAUCUCCCUGUAAUCAUCUGAGGCUGGCUCUACCUACAUACUGAUCCCACAUUCUGAUGCCCGUGUGACACUGUGGAGGGCCUGGAACCUGCUAAACAUCUCUGUGUGAGAACAUUCUCCUCUUUGUCCUAAAGUCAUUUCCGCAGGACAGAGCUCCUGAAGAGCCACCCUGCUGUCCUCGGUGACAGAUUUGCCAGCCCUCCACCAGGUGGAUGGAUAUGGUGAGAUCAGCUGUGUCCUCUGGUAUUUCUCCUGCUCUCAGGGUGAUCCCAGCCUCCUACCAUCAUGAAGCAGCCCCCAGGAGGAAGCUGCAGGAAGGCAGCCAUCUGAGGAUAGUCAUCCCAGCUUCACACUCCCAGAAAGUCACAGAGAAAAACAGUCUUUUUUUUUUUUUUUUUUUUGGCUGAGAUGUAGGGUGGCAGAUAGGAGGA